This 1217-nucleotide long non-coding RNA is filed under the name Bemisia tabaci. Its description in RNAcentral is "lncRNA ENSSSA2NGG007368". The record is from RNAcentral. Lineage: Eukaryota; Metazoa; Arthropoda; Insecta; Hemiptera; Aleyrodidae.
UGGAAUACAACCCAGCCGCACCUAAUAUGGAACCUUGGCCCCCAAGUAAUUAUAUCGGAGGUCCUUUUAACAAUCGUGGACCACUAAAUAAACAGCGAGAACUGAUCAGCGUUCCGACCUCUGCCAAGACUGGCCUGCAGGACUUCACAAGAUCAGACUCUCUACAGAAACCAAGUCUUUCAAUCAACAGAACAUCCCAACAAACUCUCUCCUUCUAAAGAAAAUUCCCACGCAUCUAAACAAUAUCUCAAGGCUUAACAAUCAUUUUUACAAAUUUGGCAGGAUCAAUAAAAUUCAAGUAAGGCACUUCUCAAUUUUCACGUAUGUUGUUUCUUAAAUGAGCCAGAAGUGGUACUUUCUAAUCGUAAAGUGGAAUCCAUUUAUCUACUAAUGGCUUCUGAUAACAUAUCAAUUUCAUUGAAUAUUUUUGUUUACAAUUCUAACUCUAAUUUAUAAUCCCCUAUGAUUUUACAGUUGGUUGAGUUUUGAUAUCAUCGUUUCGAACUUCCUUUGAAAAGAGGAAUUUUACAGAGGAGUUUUAAAGAAAUCUUCAAAAUAGAUUACAUAAAAUUUCUUCAUGAAGGUUAUUGACUCUUGUAAUCGCUUCAAAUGCUAUUUUUUUAAAUCUUUGAGGCACUUAGGAAAAUUUAACCGCUAAAUUAUCCUCUCUUCACAGGUUUUCUACGAAGGGCAGCCAGAUGCAGCUCUGAUUACUUUCAGCUCCGUUGCAGAGGCUCAAGCAGCCUACAGGAGUCCAGAACCCAUUCUCAACAAUCGUUUCAUUAAAAUGUUUUAUUAUCAAACGGAUAAAAGCUUAGUUAAUGGAAAAAUUCAAGAUUCAAUCGCUAACAAACGCAAUUUAGGGAACACUAGUGCUGUAAAUAUGCAGCUGAACAGGCCAAAAGUCCCAGAAACCUCCAAUGGUGGCACACCCAAACAGGUAGAUAGCACGACAACAUUUCAGAAAACUGGUGCAUACAAUUUGGUUAAAGAUCCAGGGAGAAAACCGGUUGUUGAAAAAUUGAAUGUCCUGAAGAAAACAGUAACUAUUUACAAGAAAAAGCAAGAGCUAUUACAGAAAUUGAUCAAACAACAAAAGAUCUCAUUCUACUCAUCGAAAAAGGUUCACUUAGUGAGGAACAGAGGAGUAAAAUAUUUGAAACCAUCAGUAGUUUACAGGUCCAAAUUGAAGGCAUCAAGGAAUCAAUCAAGGAAGC